This 301-nucleotide ribosomal RNA is filed under the name uncultured bacterium. Its description in RNAcentral is "partial 16S ribosomal RNA". It matches the Rfam family "Bacterial small subunit ribosomal RNA", at positions 509 to 807 of the family's 1533-position model. The record is from RNAcentral.
CAGUCGCCGCGGUAAUACGAGGGGGGCAAGCGUUGUUCGGAAUUAUUGGGCGUAAAGGGCGCGUAGGCGGUUUGGCAAGUUUGGUGUGAAAUCUUCGGGCUCAACUCGAAGUCUGCAUCGAAAACUGCCGGGCUUGAGUAUGGGAGAGGUGAGUGGAGUUUCCGGUGUAGCGGUGAAAUGCGUAGAUAUCGGAAGGAACACCUGUGGCGAAAGCGGCUCACUGGACCAUAACUGACGCUGAGGCGCGAAAGCUAGGGGAGCAAACAGGAUUAGAUACCCGCGUAGUCCCUGUCUCUUAUAC